This 1058-nucleotide long non-coding RNA is filed under the name Bos mutus (wild yak). RNAcentral's name for it is "lncRNA (ENSBMUG00000000906.1)". Lineage: Eukaryota; Metazoa; Chordata; Mammalia; Artiodactyla; Bovidae. The record is from RNAcentral.
UGGUAGAGUCAGGGUGUGUGGUUGAAAAAAAGAAUUUUGUCUUUGUCUUUUAAAAUUAGCUACUGGAGGGAAAAAAGAGCAUAACACCGGUUUUCUGGUAGUAGAAACCCACAGGCUAUGUCCUAUGGGACAUAAUGUGACCAAAAAACUGUCUGUAGAGCAGAUAUUUUUAUAACUCACGAUUAGGCCACGGAGCCAGAACAAAGGGGACAAUGGAGGGGUUACAUAGUUCAUGCUGCUCUGUUAACAGCACCACAUGGAACCCAACUGUGGACUUCCUGCACCUGGCGAGAAGAGGCAGCCAAGCCCAAGCCCCUCAACUUGGCAGUGAAGAAACUCUGACCAGAGCGGCCAGUGAGGCUGUCAUCUAGCAAUUCACCCCUGAACCCAGGUUAUCGACUGUGGAUGCAGGGAAGAAAAAGCCUCACCUUUGAAGCAACCCACACCUUCUCUCUGCCCUGUGGCUCUCUCGCCUCCUCCUCCUCCGUUGUAGACAACGCUCUGACCAACCACUGCAGAUGCAUCCAUUUGUCUCCCCCAAUAUUAGCGCUUCUUGAGCUUUCUAGGGGCCAAUGGUCUAAAGGUGAGAACAGCGAUUCUAUCAGGCAGCUGAUCUUCUAGGUCUCAGCCAGCUCAGUGUUUAUAAUAAUUCUUAAAUGCACGCUUACUGGUCCCUUAGCUUCCUCAGUUAGGCAUCUGCUCAGAGUCCUUUAAAAGAACUUUUUCCAACCAGUGUGAGGUUAGCCAAAGGUAGCUGAACUAGAUAUCACUGUUCUUCCCACCCCGAGAUUGCUUCCGGACUAAGAGGAUUCCUGCCACCCUUCACUGAUCAAUUUGGUCAAACCAUCAGGCACAGAGAACAUUAGAGCAAUUUCUUUUCCCUCCUACACUUAUUUAUCAUCACCCAUCCACCACACCUUAGACCACUGCCUCUUUCAACCUCUAACUCCUUCCCCAAGAAGUAUGAAAAGAGAAACGAUCAACUUACACGGGCUGACGUAGAGUUCUUAGAAUGUAUUUUUGUUCACCUGAAAAAUAAAACUUUUAAAAAAUAUACA